GUUCCAUGAGGUUGGACUUGACUCAAUGGACCCUUCCUAGUGCAGAUGAGAGCUACAUUUAUUGCUUACAGACAGUACUUGACAUGACCCAAAGCUGUUUGUAAUACAACUGCCUCACUAGGAGACUGCUUUUUCAGAAGUACUUUAAAGAACAUCAGAAAGGCUAUACUUGCUCAGAGUAAAGGUCCAUCUGGCUCAACAUCCUGUCCCUGGGCAGUGGCCAAGAAAGGAUGCCUGGGGCACAGCUAAACCACUUCUCCUUUGCUGCACACACCUUCAGGCUGAAUGUAAUGAGUGAGGAGGGAGGAUAAGGCCAGCCGCCCUCACAGUAUUUCUAGCAAGAAUGGGAGCAGGUCCUGCAGGAGCCCGUGCAUCGGCCUACUGAGCUCCCCAAGACUGGAAGACUGGAGCUGCUUGUGAAAUUAGUCCAGCUGACUGUGCACACGUGAGUACACCCAUGAUGGAUAUGGAUGCCAUGGAUAAGAACUGGACCGAGAUUCUCUAGGCUUUUUAUAUCAGUUACUGAAUAGAUGGUCUUUUACUUCCCCUACCAACUCUCUGGUUCCAGAGAGCUCUACUGGAUAUAUGCUGUGGAAAUCCAUUUUCAGGAGAUGAAAAUCUGAUGGAAGAGCCUAUGGCUCUUGAAGAAACAAAUAUACCUUUGUUAAACUGUGAGUGCCUGUGGAAAUGCUAGCAGAAAGUCUUUAACUGCCAUGGUAUUAAUAGGGUAGGAAGAACUUAUUAUUGUAAUAAUAACAAGAUGGUUCUCAAAGA
Cygnus olor (mute swan) is the source of this 774-nucleotide long non-coding RNA. RefSeq lists it as uncharacterized. The transcript is spliced from 6 exons. The record is from RefSeq and is a predicted model, not a curated record. Lineage: Eukaryota; Metazoa; Chordata; Aves; Anseriformes; Anatidae.